AUGGAGAUCGCCAUGGGUGCUAUCGGCCCUCUCCUCCCCAAGCUCGGUGCUCUCCUCGUCGGUGAUUUCACCCUGGAGAAACGCAUGAGAAAAGGCAUUGAAUCUCUUGUGACAGAGCUCACGCUGAUGCACGCUGCCCUCCGCAAGGUGGAGAAAGUGCCACCAGAACAACUCUACGAGGGAGUCAAGAUUUGGGCAGGAAAGGUGAAGGAGUUGUCCUACCACAUGGAGGACAUAGUUGACGCCUUCAGGGUGCGUGUGGAGGAUGGUAGCGGUCCUGCCAACCCAGAGAAUAGAGUGAAGAAGAUACUCAAGAAGGUCAAAGGAUUAUUCAAGAUUAGAAACGAUCUCCACUGGAUCUCUGAUGCUCUCAAAGAAGCUGUUCAUCAAGCUAAGCAGUUAGCCGAGCUACAUCAAAGGUACGAGCAAGAUAUGCAAGAUACAAGCGCUGGUGCUAGUGUUGACCCUCGCAUGAUGGCCCUGUACACAGAUGUGAUAGAGUUUGUCGGCAUUGAAGAAACACGAGAUGAGUUGAUCAACAUGUUGACAAAAGGUGAUGAUUGGUCAAAUCAUCCAUUGAAGAUUGUCUCUAUUGUUGGAUUUGGUGGAUCAGGCAAGACAACUCUUGCCAAAGCAGCAUAUGACAAGAUCAAAGGGCAAUUCAAUUGUUGUGCUUUUAUUUCGGUUUCUCAUAAUCCGGACGUGAAGAAAAUUUUCAAAAAUAUUCUUUAUGAACUUGACAAGAAGAAGUAUGCACACAUUCGUAAUGAAGAAUGGGAAGAAAAGCAUCUGAUCGACGAACUCAUUGAAUUCCUUAAUGGCAAGAGGUACCUCAUCAUAAUUGAUGACAUAUGGGACAAAGAAGUGUGGAAAUUAAUCAAGUGUACUGCUUUCUCCAAGAAGAGUCCCGGAAGCCAACUAAUCACGACAACCCGCAUCGUUAGUGUCUCUGAAGCGUGCUGCUCUUCUAGGGAUGACAUUUACAAAAUGAAACCUCUUUCUGACGAUGUAUCAAGAACUCUCUUCUAUAGAAGAGUAUUUUCUCAUGAGAAAGGGUGUCCUCAAGAAUUGGUGCAAGUAUCCAAAGACAUUUUGAAGAAAUGUGGUGGCAUACCAUUGGCUAUUAUUUCUAUAGCAAGUCUUUUGGCUAAUAAUCAUCAGGGAAAAACAAAGGAUCAAUGGUAUGCAUUGCUUAAUUCCAUUGGUCGCGGACUCACAGAAGAUCGAAGUUUAGAGGAGAUGAAAAAGAUAUUAUUAUUCAGCUAUUAUGAUCUACCUUCAUACCUAAAACCUUGUUUAUUAUAUCUUAGCGUAUUUCCAGAAGAUCACAAGAUUAUGAUAGGCAAGCUAAUAUGGAGAUGGAUAUCAGAAGGUUUUGUUUAUAGUGCAAAACCAGAAACUAGCUUAUAUGAGCUUGGUAAUAGCUACUUCAGUGAGCUAGUUAAUAGAAGUAUGAUCCAGCUAAUAGGCACUAAUGGUGAAGAGGAAGAAAACUUAGAAGCUUGUCGUGUACAUGACAUGGUACUUGAUCUCAUAUGCACAUUGUCAGUUGAAGAAAACUUCAUCACAAUAUUGGAUGACACUGGUAGAAAAAUGCCUAACUUGAAAAGCAAGGUCCGUAGAUUGUCCAUCCACGAUAGCAAGAUCGAUGUGGACACCACUAGGAUGGCACACAUGAGAUCUUUUACCAUUUUUACAAAUAAUGUUGUUGGGAAAGUGUUGGAUAUUUCAAGUUUUCAAGUUCUUCGCGUGUUGGAUUUAGAAGGUUGCGAUGUUUCAGAUGUUGGGUAUGUGGCGACUCUAUUGCAUUUGAGGUACUUAGGGCUAAAAGAUACUCAUGUUGAGGACCUUCCCAUGGAAAUAUGGAAGCUGCAGUUUUUGCUUACCUUGGACUUAAGAGGUACUAAGAUAAAAGUACUAUCGUCGAGUGUUUUUCAGCUAAGACGUCUGAUGUGCCUUUAUGUUGACUAUAAUAUGAAGCUGUCGUCUGGUAUGGGUAACCUGACUUGUCUGGAAGUGCUAGGUCAACUAGGGGUGUCUAGCCUGGACCUCCAUGUUGUGAAAGAAUUGGGUCAUCUAACCAAACUCAGGGUGCUCCGGGUUUUAAGUAAUUGUUUGGAUGAGGCCUCGGACAAAGCUUUGGAGGAAUCACUUGGUAAUUUACACAAAUUGGAAAGUCUAGAGAUAGAGAUAUUUACCGAAGAUGAAUUAAUAAAUUUGAUGAGCAAAGAUUGGGUGCCCCCUUUACAACUCCGUAAGUUGGAUUUCCGGUCAGUCUAUAGUCUUUUUUUUUUGAAAGAUCCAGCAUUCGCUGGCAUUCAUUGA
RNAcentral lists this ribosomal RNA (2325 nucleotides) under Triticum aestivum (bread wheat). RNAcentral's name for it is "partial small subunit ribosomal RNA". Lineage: Eukaryota; Viridiplantae; Streptophyta; Magnoliopsida; Poales; Poaceae. The record is from RNAcentral.